RNAcentral lists this long non-coding RNA (328 nucleotides) under Strigops habroptila (Kakapo). RNAcentral describes it as "lncRNA (ENSSHBG00005016686.1)". The record is from RNAcentral. Lineage: Eukaryota; Metazoa; Chordata; Aves; Psittaciformes; Psittacidae.
GGGUGCGGGAGGGCGCUGUGGGGAGCCGGGCUGGCGGCUGGGGCCAGGCCUGGCGGAUCCCCUCCAGCCACGCGAGUCCUUUGCGUAGGACUGGGCUUGAAGCUGGAUGUGAAAAGGAGCCACGUCACAGCCACAGCCCCAGUCUGGGCCCGGAUGGGGGUGAGCAGUGACAUGGACCUCCUCGAGUGCAGAACACCGUGCGCCCCGAAGACUUCCCUGUGGGAAAACAGCUGCAAAACUGCUCGUGAUUAUUCAUCCUCCCAAUAAACACAUGGAGGGAAAACCCUGGCAAAGAUAUUCCUCCGUUAUAUACACCCUCCUUUACAUA